UGUGAGGCAGUAGACUGUCAAGCAAUGGAUUGGGAAGGAAAACUAACAUCAUUUUUGAACAUCUCCUAAGGAGCAGACACUAUACCAGAUUCAGUUUCUGGCCUGCCCUGUGUCCUUGGAAGUAGACCUCUGCAAAACGAACCUUCCCUUGCUCUGUGGCUAAUAAUUACGGUCAGCCAAUGGGAGAAACUGUGGAAGAUAUGUGUGGGAACAGAAAAGUUGGGGUGCAACCUGUUAUAUAAGGAAUGGACUCAAAAUGCAACGUAAGAGCUGUUAACUAUGAAUCACCCUACAAUAUAACCCUACACCAUGGGAAACGUUGGAUAACAAGGUAUGAAGAUCUUUAGAGAUUUUAAGAUGAUAAGAUAUAUCCCUCUCAUUUGCAUGCAUUUCCAUUAAAAUCAGCUACAAAAUAAGUGUGUCCACUAAAUCUCUGUAAUUUAACAAUGUUCUGAAAGCAGUAGCUUAUACAACCAAACAAUAGGAAUAAAUUUGAGAUAUAAAAGUUGGGAAGGAAAACUUAAAAUUAGAAUUAUUCUCUGGUGAUAUAGAUGUAUACUUGGAAA
Choloepus didactylus (southern two-toed sloth) is the source of this 566-nucleotide long non-coding RNA. RefSeq lists it as uncharacterized. The record is from RefSeq and is a predicted model, not a curated record. The transcript has 4 exons. Lineage: Eukaryota; Metazoa; Chordata; Mammalia; Pilosa; Megalonychidae.